This 109-nucleotide non-coding RNA is filed under the name Bacillus sp. (in: firmicutes). RNAcentral's name for it is "Bacillus sp. TPP sequence". It matches the Rfam family "TPP riboswitch aptamer (THI element)". From Rfam's summary of the family: Vitamin B(1) in its active form thiamin pyrophosphate (TPP) is an essential coenzyme that is synthesised by coupling of pyrimidine and thiazole moieties in bacteria. The previously detected thiamin-regulatory element, thi box was extended, resulting in a new, highly conserved RNA secondary structure, the THI element, which is widely distributed in eubacteria and also occurs in some archaea. Lineage: Bacteria; Bacillati; Bacillota; Bacilli; Caryophanales; Bacillaceae. RNAcentral also lists the same sequence under 1 other name. The record is from RNAcentral.
CAAUUCCGCUAGAGGUGCCUUUUUAAAGGGCUGAGAUUGAAGUGUAACUUCGGGACUCUAUGAACCUGAUCUGGUUAAGACCAGCGUAGGGAAGUGGAAAACAGGAUAU